GACAGCGGAUGCAAGCGUUAUCCGGAAUGAUUGGGCGUAAAGCGUCCGCAGGUGGCAAUGUAAGUCUGCUGUCAAAGCGUCUGGCUCAACCAGAUAAAGGCAGUGGAAACUACAUAGCUAGAGUAAGGUAGGGGUAGAGGGAAUUCCUGGUGUAGCGGUGAAAUGCGUAGAGAUCAGGAAGAACACCGGUGGCGAAAGCGCUCUGCUGGACCUUAACUGACACUGAGGGACGAAAGCUAGGGGAGCAAACAGG
This 253-nucleotide ribosomal RNA is filed under the name uncultured bacterium. RNAcentral describes it as "partial 16S ribosomal RNA". It matches the Rfam family "Bacterial small subunit ribosomal RNA", at positions 524 to 776 of the family's 1533-position model. The record is from RNAcentral.